RNAcentral lists this non-coding RNA (45 nucleotides) under Schistosoma curassoni. Lineage: Eukaryota; Metazoa; Platyhelminthes; Trematoda; Strigeidida; Schistosomatidae. The record is from RNAcentral.
AUCCAGUUGACGAGUCUCAAAUAGGACGAAACGCAUGUCUUGGUU